CACACAUAUGAGUUUAGCCAACACAAAUGGCACUCUCAUACUUUUACUGGUGUAAAUGAAAUAUUCAAGUAUGAAACAAGCGCCAUUAUUUUUGUCCACGAGGAACAUAUCGCUCAUUCUAAUGCAGCAUGCCACCAUCAUUUGUCUGUCUGAGCUGGAUAAUAAUGGUUUUGCCUGUCUCUCUGUGUGAUUGUUUUGAUUACUGGAAUGAACUCUUCCACUGCAUGCGCAUUUGUAUGCCUUGACUUUGAAACGACACCCAGGUACAAAGGACAGCACUCCAUCUAAAGACGUUCAGUGGAUAUAUUACAGCAAAUCAGUGUCAACUCAGACAAUCAGGUCUUCAUGGCAACAGAAGCAACUCACAACCUCCUACUCCAAACAGCUACUACAAUAUUUAAUUGUUUUAUAAUUCUCUGUCUAUUCCUUCUUCUUCCUGCUACUUCUAGGGUAUGGUGCCAUUCAUGGCCAUGGGAUGAACUGAUGUCCAGAACAGCUAGAGUUUUGUGACUGUUCAUUCUCCCUUUUCCCUCCAGAUGUUCUUUAAUUCCACAGAGUCGGACGUAUCAUCCUAACUAGCCCCUGGUGAGGAUGAUAGCAGUCAGUGGAAGCAGCCACCGUCCUUGCUAGGGGCCCUGCAUCAUCAGUGAUUAAACAGGAAAGAGACAGGCAUCCUGUUCUCCCAAAGCUGUCUGUAGCCACAAUUGCAUGUGAUCCCAAUUCAGAGUCCUCUCUAGGAGGUAUGUGGAGUCCCAGGCUAUGGCAGAUAAGAAAACCUGGACACGGGGCCAAAUUCAGAGAUGAUGUACAAGGGUAAAAGAUCUUAUUCCGAAACCCCACAGACUUUGCCAGCAUGCGGAGAUGAAUAAAUACUGGG
Long non-coding RNA from Mauremys reevesii (Reeves's turtle), 877 nucleotides. RefSeq lists it as uncharacterized. The transcript is spliced from 4 exons. Lineage: Eukaryota; Metazoa; Chordata; Testudines; Geoemydidae. The record is from RefSeq and is a predicted model, not a curated record.